UGAGUAACCUGCCCUGGACUUUGGGAUAACCCUCGGAAACGGGGGCUAAUACCGGAUAUGACGACUCACCGCAUGGUGUGGUUGUGGAAAGUUUUUCGGUCUGGGAUGGGGCUCGCGGCCUAUCAGCUUGUUGGUGGGGUGAUGGCCUACCAAGGCGACGACGGGUAGCCGGCCUGAGAGGGCGACCGGCCACACUGGGACUGAGACACGGCCCAGACUCCUACGGGAGGCA
This 232-nucleotide ribosomal RNA is filed under the name uncultured bacterium. RNAcentral's name for it is "partial 16S ribosomal RNA". It matches the Rfam family "Bacterial small subunit ribosomal RNA", at positions 118 to 350 of the family's 1533-position model. The record is from RNAcentral.